Rattus norvegicus (Norway rat) is the source of this 112-nucleotide non-coding RNA. Ensembl annotates it as Y RNA. The record is from Ensembl. Lineage: Eukaryota; Metazoa; Chordata; Mammalia; Rodentia; Muridae.
AACUGGUCCAAAGGUAAUAAGUUAUCUCAAUUGACUGUUCACAAUCAGUUACAAAUUGAACUCCUGUUCUCUACUUCCCUCCCUUCUCACUACUGCACUUGACAAGAGAUAG